ACGUGGUGUGCCCUGCAAGUGUGU
RNAcentral lists this non-coding RNA (24 nucleotides) under Arabidopsis thaliana (thale cress). Lineage: Eukaryota; Viridiplantae; Streptophyta; Magnoliopsida; Brassicales; Brassicaceae. The record is from RNAcentral.